UACGUAGGAGGCAAGCGUUGUCCGGAAUUACUGGGUGUAAAGCGCGUGUAGGCGGCAGGCCAAGUCUGUGGUGAAAUCGCUCGGCUCAACUGGGCGGGGUCCAUGGAAACUGGUCAGCUGGAGGACGGUAGAGGUGAGUGGAAUUCCCGGUGUAGUGGUGAAAUGCGUAGAGAUCGGGAGGAACACCCGUGGCGAAGGCGGCUCACUGGGCCGGUCCUGACGCUGAGACGCGAAAGCGUGGGGAGCAAACAGG
Molecule: ribosomal RNA, 253 nt
Filed under: uncultured bacterium
Lineage: Bacteria
Description: partial 16S ribosomal RNA
Rfam family: Bacterial small subunit ribosomal RNA
Source: RNAcentral